RNAcentral lists this ribosomal RNA (424 nucleotides) under uncultured bacterium. RNAcentral's name for it is "bacterial SSU rRNA". It matches the Rfam family "Bacterial small subunit ribosomal RNA", at positions 359 to 775 of the family's 1533-position model. The record is from RNAcentral.
GAAUAUUGGACAAUGGGCGAAAGCCUGAUCCAGCCAUGCCGCGUGUGUGAAGAAGGUCUUCGGAUUGUAAAGCACUUUAAGUUGGGAGGAAGGGUUGUAACCUAAUACGUUGCAACUUUGACGUUACCGACAGAAUAAGCACCGGCUAACUUCGUGCCAGCAGCCGCGGUAAUACGAAGGGUGCAAGCGUUAAUCGGAAUUACUGGGCGUAAAGCGCGCGUAGGUGGUUUGAUAAGUUGGAUGUGAAAGCCCCGGGCUCAACCUGGGAAUUGCAUCCAAAACUGUCUGACUAGAGUACGGUAGAGGGUAGUGGAAUUUCCUGUGUAGCGGUGAAAUGCGUAGAUAUAGGAAGGAACACCAGUGGCGAAGGCGACUACCUGGACUGAUACUGACACUGAGGUGCGAAAGCGUGGGGAGCAAACAG